CUUUGCAGAGUGAAGUUUCAAUGAAAGUCAAGGGACGGCGUUAGUUGCAAACAAAUGGUCAUAUUGUGAAAACUAUCAGGACUAUGGCUUAGCCGUUGACAUGUUUAGUGGCAGCAGGGAUAGCUGAACAUUUUGAUAUAAGAUUUGUGUAGGUGGGCCUGAAAAUAAGGGAGUGGUGGCAGUUUAGAAAUCAUGUCCUGAUUUUUCAGCUUUUGCCAGCUCCCACUCUAGCUUUGCCAUUCAUUCCUAUGGGACAAA
Non-coding RNA from Pelobates cultripes (western spadefoot toad), 258 nucleotides. The record is from the annotation of a GenBank genome assembly. NCBI's taxonomy places the organism in Eukaryota, Metazoa, Chordata, Amphibia, Anura, Pelobatidae.